This 301-nucleotide ribosomal RNA is filed under the name uncultured bacterium. RNAcentral's name for it is "partial 16S ribosomal RNA". It matches the Rfam family "Bacterial small subunit ribosomal RNA", at positions 509 to 807 of the family's 1533-position model. The record is from RNAcentral.
CAGCCGCCGCGGGAAUACGGAGGGUGCAAGCGUUAAUCGGAAUUACUGGGCGUAAAGCGCACGCAGGCGGUUUGUUAAGUCAGAUGUGAAAUCCCCGAGCUUAACUUGGGAACUGCAUUUGAAACUGGCAAGCUAGAGUCUUGUAGAGGGGGGUAGAAUUCCAGGUGUAGCGGUGAAAUGCGUAGAGAUCUGGAGGAAUACCGGUGGCGAAGGCGGCCCCCUGGACAAAGACUGACGCUCGGGUGCGAAAGCGUGGGGAGCAAACAGGAUUAGAUACCCCUGUAGUCCCUGUCUCUUAUAC